AGCGAACGCUGGCGGCGUGCCUAACACAUGCAAGUCGAGCGCGGGCAUUUCGGGGGUAACCCGGGAUGUGCUGAGCGGCGGACGAGUGAGUAAUACGUGGACAACCUGCCUUAAAGCUUGGGAUAACUCCGGGAAACUGGAGCUAAUACCGGAUAAGACCACGGUGUCUAUGGAUGCUGAGGUAAAAGGCGGCCAGGAAACUGGCUGUUGCUUAAAGAUGGGUCCACGUCCCAUCAGGUAGUUGGUGAGGUAAAGGCUCACCAAGCCAAAGACGGGUAGCUGGCCUUAGCGGGUGGUCAGCCACACGGGGACUGAGACACGGCCCCGACUCCUACGGGAGGCAGCAGUGGGGAAUAUUGGGCAAUGGGCGAAAGCCUG
RNAcentral lists this ribosomal RNA (378 nucleotides) under uncultured bacterium. RNAcentral describes it as "bacterial SSU rRNA". It matches the Rfam family "Bacterial small subunit ribosomal RNA", at positions 29 to 385 of the family's 1533-position model. The record is from RNAcentral.